Molecule: unclassified non-coding RNA, 315 nt
Organism: Fukomys damarensis (Damara mole-rat)
Lineage: Eukaryota; Metazoa; Chordata; Mammalia; Rodentia; Bathyergidae
Gene: 7SK
Rfam family: 7SK RNA
About the family: 7SK was discovered as an abundant small nuclear RNA in the mid-70s but a possible function has only recently been suggested. Two independent studies have found that 7SK RNA binds the CDK9/cyclin T complex (known as elongation factor P-TEFb).
Source: Ensembl
CGAUGUGAGGGUGAUCUGGCUGAGUUAUGUGUCACCCCAUCGAUUGUUAGAGUUGAUCCAGCUUAUCUGGCUGGUGAGGUGGGUGUCCCCUUCCUCCUCACCACUCCAUGUGCAUCCCUCCCAAAGCUGCAUACCAGGUCAAAGAGGACAACCACCCCGACAGAGGAGGACCAUUUUCUCAUUCAAAGGUAUACGAGUAACUGCACUCCCUUGCUACAACCUCAAAACAAGCUCUCAAAAUAAAUUUUUCCUCUUUUAACCUCAGGCAUUGUGUUCCAGCAAUGAGAAAAUGACUGAGUCACCCAACUCCUCAUU